UACGGCCGCAUCACGUUGAAACACCGGUUUCCGUACGACCACCGAAGUUAAGCAAUAUCGAGCUUGGUCAGUACCUAGAUGGGUGAACCCUUGAGAAUACCAGAUAUUGUA
Molecule: non-coding RNA, 111 nt
Organism: Acanthosepion pharaonis
Lineage: Eukaryota; Metazoa; Mollusca; Cephalopoda; Sepiida; Sepiidae
Source: the annotation of a GenBank genome assembly